RNAcentral lists this transfer RNA (72 nucleotides) under Felis catus (domestic cat). It matches the Rfam family "tRNA". From Rfam's summary of the family: Transfer RNA (tRNA) molecules are approximately 80 nucleotides in length. Their secondary structure includes four short double-helical elements and three loops (D, anti-codon, and T loops). The record is from Rfam by way of RNAcentral. Lineage: Eukaryota; Metazoa; Chordata; Mammalia; Carnivora; Felidae. RNAcentral also lists the same sequence under 5 other names.
GCCUGGCUGGCUCAGUGGUAGAGCAAGUGACUCUUGAUCUCAGGGUUGUGAGUUCAAGCUCCACAUCAGGUA